GCUCAUAUAGUGUAGUUGGUUAUCACAUCUGCUUCACACGCAGAAGGCCCCCAGUUCGAACCUGGGUGUGAGCA
Molecule: non-coding RNA, 74 nt
Organism: Umbelopsis sp. PMI_123
Lineage: Eukaryota; Fungi; Mucoromycota; Umbelopsidomycetes; Umbelopsidales; Umbelopsidaceae
Source: the annotation of a GenBank genome assembly